UUUUAGUGAUAAGUAGUCCCUCCGCUCCAUUUUACAACACCGCCGUCGCUGUCCGGGACUGAGCUGUUUCGAGAAGAGUGGAGACUGCUGUAUUGGGGCUUUCGGGCUCUGGUAUGAUGGAAACCAUUUUAAUCGCAAUGGCUUGAACCCGGGCAAAAGUCGUAACAAGGUAUCUGUAGGUGAACCUGCAGAUGGAUCAUCGCCGAAACUUUAUGGGUAAUGCUUUGAUCACGAGAGAUCGGUACCAAUGGAAUCAGGCUUGUUCUUGAUUUCAAUCGGUUUCUCACCCCAUCUAAGCUCAUGGAGAGGUGUCUAGUCCCAAUUGGAGUCGCUUUGAGUGACGGCUAUGAAAAUUGGGUAUGUUCCCCGUGAGGGUCGAGCAUAGACUUUAUGAACAGUGCUGGAGCUGUCGCCUCACCAAAAAAUCAUCGAUAACUGGUGGCUAUGUGUGACAUUAGUCACAUAGGUAUCUGCUGAUGCAGAGAGCCUUAAUGAGUUGUUCGUGUCAUCUGACCUACAACCGCCAGUAUCGGUAAAUCAACCCAAUUAACUUGUUUCUUGUGUCGUGUUAAUACAUACUGGCAAAGUGUAUUAGCUUUAGCGAUGGAUCGGUUGAUUCGCGUAUCGAUGAAAAACGCAGCAAGCUGCGUUAUUUACCACGAAUUGCAGACGCUUAGAGUGGUGAAGUUUUGAACGCACAGCGCCGUUGGGUUUUCCCUUCGGCACGUCUGGCUCAGGGUUGUUUAAUAAGCGAAAGUGUUGAAAGUUCAUUAAACGAGAGUUCGGUGAUACUGACAACACUACGUCGAGCGGUGUACUGUUGAAAGUACCCCGUUCAAGUAUCUUUAUGGGGCAACAUGUCUUCUAUAUGGAGACAUGAAAGAUAUUAAGAGUAUAUACCUGUGGAUGCCCACGUAUGAAAUAUGACGUGUCGUAUACACGGCUAGGAGGUAUGUCUCAGAUGAAUUUGUUUAUGCAACCUGAGCUCAGUCGUGAUUACCCGCCGAACUUAAGCAUAUCAUCAGCAGAGCAGGUACAGGGAAC
RNAcentral lists this ribosomal RNA (1044 nucleotides) under Heterorhabditis bacteriophora. Its description in RNAcentral is "eukaryotic LSU rRNA". The stretch from base 593 to 742 matches the Rfam family "5.8S ribosomal RNA". The record is from RNAcentral. Lineage: Eukaryota; Metazoa; Nematoda; Chromadorea; Rhabditida; Heterorhabditidae.